Molecule: ribosomal RNA, 253 nt
Filed under: uncultured bacterium
Lineage: Bacteria
Description: partial 16S ribosomal RNA
Rfam family: Bacterial small subunit ribosomal RNA
Source: RNAcentral
UACAGAGGUCUCAAGCGUUGUUCGGAAUUACUGGGCGUAAAGGGUGCGCAGGUGGUCAUGUAAGUCAAAUGUGAAAGACUGGGGCUCAACCUCAGAUUUGCAUGUGAUACUGCGUGACUUGAGAACUGAAGAGGGAUCUUGAAUUCACGGUGUAGCAGUGAAAUGCGUAGAUAUCGUGAGGAACACCAAAGGCGAAAGCAGGAUCCUGGUCAGCUUCUGACACUCAUGCACGAAGGCUAGGGGAGCAAACGGG